This 305-nucleotide ribosomal RNA is filed under the name uncultured fungus. RNAcentral describes it as "SSU rRNA". It matches the Rfam family "Eukaryotic small subunit ribosomal RNA", at positions 1448 to 1752 of the family's 1831-position model. Lineage: Eukaryota; Fungi. The record is from RNAcentral.
AGGCAAUAACAGGUUUGUGAUGCCCUUAGAUGUUUUGGGCCGCACGCGCGUUACACUGACAGGACCAGGGAGUUUUUACCUUGGCCGGAAGGUCUGGGCAAUCUUGUGAAAUCCUGUCGUGCUGGGGAUAGAGCAUUGCAAUUAUUGCUCUUCAACGAGGAAUACCUAGUAAGCGUGAGUCAUCAGCUCGCGUUGAUUACGUCCCUGCCCUUUGUACACACCGCCCGUCGCUACUACCGAUUGAAUGGCUUAGUGAGGUCUUCGGAUUGGCUUUGGGGAGCCGGAAACGGCACCCUAUGCGAGAA